AGAAAAUCUGGAAAGGGGAAAGAAAGAAGAGAAGCCCCCUGACUUCUCCCUGAGCCCCAGACAGCCCAUGAACUGCCUUGCUGGGAAUGGUAGGACGGGGUGGACUCUGGAUUGCUCCCUCUGGAUGUGUGGAACUCCAGGAACUCCUGGUGCCGCCUGGGCCGAUGGAUUGGACGCCCCAGCCCCUCCGUUCCUGCCCAGCCCCUGGGUCCGUGUCCAGUGGUGGCACUGCCAGCCCUGCAGUGGGAUGUAGCCUGGAAAGUGCACAGAGCUGAGCCAAGGGAUUGAAAGGGACCAAGCAAGGGAGGUGAAGAAAGAAGGAAGAAGGGAAGUGAGGCAGCAGGCAAGCAGCACCAAGUUGCUGUGUAAGCAGGUGAGUUGUGUUGAGGUUCCUAAGGCAGGCACUGAGGACUUUGAGGGCUCCAGACAGAGCAGACCUGGGAAGGCCCUCGGUGAAGCCCCUUGGAAACCUUCUAAGGGUAGGUGUGUAUGGUGAUAAGUGUUGGAAAAUGUCCUGACUGUGGAACAGGAAUGCAGGGAAGGAAAAUGAAUCCUCCUGUAAUGCUGACCCCUCCCAUCAGCUGUAGUAGAGA
Pseudopipra pipra is the source of this 593-nucleotide long non-coding RNA. RefSeq lists it as uncharacterized. The record is from RefSeq and is a predicted model, not a curated record. The transcript has 3 exons. Lineage: Eukaryota; Metazoa; Chordata; Aves; Passeriformes; Pipridae.